UUAGGCUAGGCCAGCUUGGCGUUGGUUGUCCAAGUUUAAGGUGGUAGGCUGAAAUCUUAGGUAAAUCCGGGGUUUCAAGGCCGAGAGCUGAUGACGAGUCGUCUUUUAGAUGACGAAGUGGUUGAUGCCAUGCUUCCAAGAAAAGCUUCUAAGCUUCAGGUAACCAGGAACCGUACCCCAAACCGACACAGGUGGUCGGGUAGAGAAUACCAAGGCGCUUGAGAGAACUCGGGUGAAGGAACUAGGCAAAAUGGCACCGUAACUUCGGGAGAAGGUGCGCCGGCUAGGGUGAAGGAUUUACUCCGUAAGCCCUGGCUGGUCGAAGAUACCAGGCCGCUGCGACUGUUUAUUAAAAACACAGCACUCUGCAAACACGAAAGUGGACGUAUAGGGUGUGACGCCUGCCCGGUGCCGGAAGGUUAAUUGAUGGGGUUAGCGCAAGCGAAGCUCUUGAUCGAAGCCCCGGUAAACGGCGGCCGUAACUAUAACGGUCCUAAGGUAGCGAAAUUCCUUGUCGGGUAAGUUCCGACCUGCACGAAUGGCGUAACGAUGGCGGCGCUGUCUCCACCCGAGACUCAGUGAAAUUGAAAUCGCUGUGAAGAUGCAGUGUAUCCGCGGCUAGACGGAAAGACCCCGUGAACCUUUACUGUAGCUUUGCACUGGACUUUGAGCCUGCUUGUGUAGGAUAGGUGGGAGGCUUUGAAGCGUGGACGCCAGUUCGCGUGGAGCCAUCCUUGAAAUACCACCCUGGCAUGCUUGAGGUUCUAACUCUGGUCCGUAAUCCGGAUCGAGGACAGUGUAUGGUGGGCAGUUUGACUGGGGCGGUCUCCUCCUAAAGAGUAACGGAGGAGUACGAAGGUGCGCUCAGACCGGUCGGAAAUCGGUCGCAGAGUAUAAAGGCAAAAGCGCGCUUGACUGCGAGACAGACACGUCGAGCAGGUACGAAAGUAGGUCUUAGUGAUCCGGUGGUUCUGUAUGGAAGGGCCAUCGCUCAACGGAUAAAAGGUACUCCGGGGAUAACAGGCUGAUACCGCCCAAGAGUUCAUAUCGACGGCGGUGUUUGGCACCUCGAUGUCGGCUCAUCACAUCCUGGGGCUGAAGCCGGUCCCAAGGGUAUGGCUGUUCGCCAUUUAAAGUGGUACGCGAGCUGGGUUUAGAACGUCGUGAGACAGUUCGGUCCCUAUCUGCCGUGGACGUUUGAGAUUUGAGAGGGGCUGCUCCUAGUACGAGAGGACCGGAGUGGACGAACCUCUGGUGUUCCGGUUGUCACGCCAGUGGCAUUGCCGGGUAGCUAUGUUCGGAAAAGAUAACCGCUGAAAGCAUCUAAGCGGGAAACUUGCCUCAAGAUGAGAUCUCACUGGGAACUUGAUUCCCCUGAAGGGCCGUCGAAGACUACGACGUUGAUAGGCUGGGUGUGUAAGCGUUGUGAGGCGUUGAGCUAACCAGUACUAAUUGCCCGUGAGGCUUGACC
This 1471-nucleotide ribosomal RNA is filed under the name metagenome. RNAcentral's name for it is "bacterial LSU rRNA". It matches the Rfam family "Bacterial large subunit ribosomal RNA", at positions 1477 to 2925 of the family's 2925-position model. The record is from RNAcentral.